Molecule: transfer-messenger RNA, 398 nt
Filed under: marine eukaryotic metagenome
Rfam family: transfer-messenger RNA
About the family: Bacterial tmRNA, also known as 10Sa RNA or SsrA, is named for its dual tRNA and mRNA-like properties.
Source: RNAcentral
GGGGUCGACUGGUUUUGACAGCAGGUUCCCAUGACGGAGUAAGCAGGUCGAGCGCUGAGACACAGCUCGUAAAUCAUAUGUUUCACACUUUAAAUGGCGAGAAUAACUACGCUCUAGCUGCAUAAUUGACUGAAUUACAGUAAGUCAUUGCCUAGUCCCGACCAGGUCGGGAAGCCGGAUGUCUCUCGAUAGCCCUUGUUGACGGCGAUCGAUAUUGAGGCACCAUAAAUGUCAACAUCGAAAUGCUAUAGCAUCGCUAGCGUUUUUCAAUAAAGAUGAUAAGGGUAUCUAGGGCGGUUUUCGGUCACUGAUACCUCGAAAAACAAACGAGAACUAAACCUGUAGAAAGCUCGGUUGUGACUUGUUUGGACGCGGGUUCGAUUCCCGCCGACUCCACU